GGGCGGUUAGCUCAGUUGGCUAGAGCACCUGCUCGACACGCAGGGGGUCGUUGGUUCGAAUCCAAUAUCGCCCA
Molecule: transfer RNA, 74 nt
Filed under: Spirochaetes bacterium GWB1_60_80
Lineage: Bacteria; Pseudomonadati; Spirochaetota
Also listed under: 5 other names
Description: tRNA-Val
Rfam family: tRNA
About the family: Transfer RNA (tRNA) molecules are approximately 80 nucleotides in length.
Source: RNAcentral